Molecule: ribosomal RNA, 372 nt
Filed under: uncultured organism
Description: bacterial SSU rRNA
Rfam family: Bacterial small subunit ribosomal RNA
Source: RNAcentral
CGUAGGGUGCGAGCGUUAAUCGGAAUUACUGGGCGUAAAGCGUGCGCAGGCGGUUUUGUAAGACAGGCGUGAAAUCCCCGGGCUCAACCUGGGAACUGCGCUUGUGACUGCAAGGCUAGAGUACGGCAGAGGGGGUGGAAUUCCACGUGUAGCAGUGAAAUGCGUAGAGAUGUGGAGGAACACCAAUGGCGAAGGCAGCCCCCUGGGUCGAUACUGACGCUCAUGCACGAAAGCGUGGGUAGCAAACAGGAUUAGAUACCCUGGUAGUCCACGCCCUAAACGAGUGUCAACUAGGUGUUGGGUGGGUAAAACCAUUUAGUACCGGAGCUAACGCGUGAAGUUGACCGCCUGGGGAGUACGGCCGCAAGGUUA